UAACGGGGCGGUCCUCUAUGAGGCCCGUCAUUGUAUUGAGUAAAACUCAAAAUAUUUAACGAAACCAAUUGGAGGGCAAGUCUGGUGCCAGCAGCCGCGGUAAUUCCAGCUCCAAAAGCAUAUAUUAAAGUUGUUGCGGUUAAAAAGCUCGUAGUUGGAUCCAUGACCUCGGAGGGCGGUCCCCCACUGGGUGCGUACUGCUGCUCCGAGUCCUAUCUGUCAGUUUGUCUGUGUUGCCUUUAAUCGGGUGGCACAGGUGACUGACGUGUUUACUUUGAAAAAAUUAGAGUGUUUAAAGCAGGCGUUGAAUGCCAGAAUAGUGGUGCAUGGAAUAAUGGAAUAGGAUCUCGGUUCUAUUUUGUUGGUUCAAGAGCAUGAGAAAAUGAUUAAGAGGGACAGACGGGGGCAUUUGUAUUGCUGCGUUAGAGGUGAAAUUCUUGGAUCGUAGCAAGACAGACUACUGCGAAGGCAUUUGCCAAGAAUGUUUUCAUUAAUCAAGAACGAAAGUUAGAGGUUCGAAGGCGAUCAGAUACCGCCCUAGUUCUAACCGUAAACCAUGUCGACUAGCUAUCUGUCAGCGUUAAUAAUGACCUGACAGGCAGCUACCGGAAACGAAAGUUUCUCGAUUCCGGGGGUAGUAUGGUUGCAAAGCUGAAACUUAAAGGAAUUGACGGAAGGGCACCACCAGGAGUGGAGCCUGCGGCUUAAUUUGACCCAACACGGGAAAACUCACCCGGCCCGGACACCGUAAGGAUUGACAGAUUAAUAGCUCUUUCUCGAUUUGGUGAUUGGUGGUGCAUGGCCGUUCUUAGUUGGUGGAGCGAUUUGUCUGUUAAUUCCGAUAACGAACGAGAUUCUAACUUACUAACUAGUUCCACGAUCCCUGUGGUCCUAAAUACUUCUUAGAGGGAAAACCGGCAUUUAGUCGAACGAGAUUGAGCAAUAACAGGUCUGUGAUGCCCUUAGAUGUCCGGGGCUGCACGCGUGCUACACUGAAGGAAUCAGCGUGUUUUUCCCUUGCCUGUAAUGGCUGGGUAACCGACUGAAUCUCCUUCGUGUUAGGGAUAGAUCAUUGAAACUAGUGAUCUUCAACUUGGAAUUCCUGGUACGUUUGAGUCAUAAGCUCAAGCAGAUUACGUCCCUGCCCUUUGUACACACCGCCCGUCUCUACUACCGACUGGCAAUAUCUUUGAGACACUUGGAGCGGCCGUGAGCUACCCUAACCGGUAACUCACGGCUGCGAAAAGGUU
This 1250-nucleotide ribosomal RNA is filed under the name metagenome. RNAcentral describes it as "SSU rRNA". It matches the Rfam family "Eukaryotic small subunit ribosomal RNA", at positions 478 to 1759 of the family's 1831-position model. The record is from RNAcentral.